This 393-nucleotide ribosomal RNA is filed under the name uncultured bacterium. RNAcentral describes it as "partial 16S ribosomal RNA". It matches the Rfam family "Bacterial small subunit ribosomal RNA", at positions 523 to 918 of the family's 1533-position model. The record is from RNAcentral.
AUACGGAGGAUGCAAGCGUUAUCAGGAUUUAUUGGGUUUAAAGGGUGCGUAGGCGGUUUGCUAAGCGGGAGGGGAAAUGCCGGCGCUCACCGUCGGAAGUGCCUCCCGAACUGGUGGACUGGAAUGACUCUGCCGUGGGAGGCAUGCGUAGUGGAGCGGGGAAAUGCUUAGAGAUUACACAGAACACCGAUUGCGAAGGCAUCUCACGAAGGGUUGAUUGACGCUGAGGCACGAAAGCGUGGGGAUCAAACAGGAUUAGAUACCCUGGUAGUCCACGCAGUAAACGAUGAUGGCUAACCGCUGGGCUUAUCAGUUCAGUGGCCAAGCGAAAGCGAUAAGCCAUCCACCUGGGGAGUACGACCGCAAGGUUGAAACUCAAAUGAAUUGACGGGG